AUACUUCUCUGGCAGGGGAGACACCAUGAUCAUGAAGGUGGUUUUCCCAGGAUGAGGCUUAUCCAUUGCACUUUGGUGUGUUGACCCCUGCUAUUUCUCUAAAUAUGGGAAACACAACUGUACAAUUUGUAGUAGUGGGGAACUGUGUUUGCACUUUCCCCUG
RNAcentral lists this small nuclear RNA (163 nucleotides) under Salvator merianae (Argentine black and white tegu). RNAcentral describes it as "U1 spliceosomal RNA (ENSSMRG00000014056.1)". It matches the Rfam family "U1 spliceosomal RNA". Rfam says of the family: U1 is a small nuclear RNA (snRNA) component of the spliceosome (involved in pre-mRNA splicing). Lineage: Eukaryota; Metazoa; Chordata; Lepidosauria; Squamata; Teiidae. The record is from Rfam by way of RNAcentral.